GUGUGUGUGUGUGUGUGUGUGUGUGUGUGUUGUUUACUGUAGUAGAGGGAAAGGUGUGUUUGGAGCAACAUGAAAGCCUGGGCAAUGACCCAGUGAAUCAAUCACCAUAGUGAUGUUCAACCACUGUUGGACUGUGGACAUUUGCUGUUAACAACCAAUAAAGCAGGAGAAUAGCAGGAACAUAAAGCACACACACACACUCACACACACACAAACACACCACACACACACACACACACACACACACACACACACACACACACACACACACACACGCACACACAUUAAGUUACAGCAAUUGUCAUCUUAUUUGUGGUGUAGAGGACUUCAUGCAGAGAGAUGAUGUAUGAGUGUACUAUACAGGGUACUUACAAUGAAUAAAACACUGAUGGUCAGAAACAGGGUUCGGAAACCCUGUCCACCGAUUUCUAAAGCCCUGUCCACUGAUUUCUAAAACCCUGUCCACUGAUUUCUAAAAUCCUAUCCACUGAUUUUUAAAACCCUGUCCACUGAUUUCUAAAACCCUAUAUACUGAUUUCCAAAACCCUAUCCAGUGACUUCCCAAACCCUAUCCACUGACUUCCCAAACCCUAUCCAAUGAUCUACCAACCCCUAGCCACUGUUUUCUCAAACCCUGUCUACUUAUUUCACGAAUCAUAUACACUGAUUUCCCAAACCCUAUCCAUUGACUUCCAAAUCCCUAUCCAUUGACUUCCCAAACCCUAUCCACUGACUUCCAAAACCCUAUCCAUUGACUUCCCAAACCCUAUCCACUGACUUCCCAAACCAUAUCCUUAGUGACUUAGUGACUUAGUGAUAGUGUAUCAGGAGAUAAAGGAAUAUUUUAAGUUUUCAACCAUAAAUUUUCAACAACAACAGUAACAACAAUAUUAAAAAUGAAGUUACAGGGAAACAUUUGUAUGUUGUUAAAGAAAGUAUUAAGUAAUACAUAUACCUGUUUCCAGCUAUUACAAUGAGAAGACCAAUUCUCUGACAUAAAUUUAUACAUUCAUAUAUUAAACUAAUACUGCUAAAUUUGAGAAUGAGAUGAUGAGGAACACUUAUAAGAAGAGACCAAUUCUAAUGCAUGCUGAAAAGUUUAGGAAUGUGCUUUUGAGGUCAGUUUAAUAUUGUUUUUGAGUAUAUUUCUUUUGAACAUGGAUUUUAUGCUCUUAAAGUGAUUUUACCCCCUUAUAAUAACUGGCUGUUUAAAUACGAGUGUGUCAGCGAUUUGUUCGAUGCAGGGGAAACGGGGGAACCAGGGUUGGAUUAACGCACUCUCUCGCAUGCCGUAGAUAAAAAGACCUUUAUUUUUCUUAACAAAAACAAAUAAUGAAUGAAAACUUAUUGAAAUGAAACCUUACUAUUGAAUUUAACGUAAAAUGACUUAUUGUGAAUUGGCGUGCAGGAGCGUGGUCAAAAUAGGUGUGCUUCCCAGCUCUCCAUUUCCAUCCGCGCCUGUUGGAAGGUUAACCCACGUUAUAUACACCUCCCACACCACACGUGACCCAUGACCCAGGAGCAAUUGCACCACCAAACCUCACAAAACACAACACAAUCCCAAACAAACAGAUCAAAAACAGCCCCAAAUUCCAACUCCACAACAAAAUGGCAAAAUGGCUGUAACAACGGGUGUGAAGAACGCACAGUAUGUUUGGACCUACCAUUGUGUCCUGGGAGCUUUAAGGGCUUGAAAUAGAUAUAUUAUUAAUCUCGUGUAUGCAAAAUGCUCAACCCCAAUCUGUAGACAAUCAAAAAAAAAAACCCUACAACAGCAGUUUAAAUCUAGCCUAAUUUAGUGACAAACCAUCUAUCUGGCAUAGAGAGAUAAACAUCUAUAGACACUUAUUUUUGGUGUUGUAUUUUUCUCAUAAUACAUGCAUUUGUUUAUGCUGAGCUGAUUCACAUUUUGUUGUGCUGUGCUGAGUCAUAUCUCCACAAGUUCCAGUGUUUAUUAUUUGUGCUGCAAAAAAAAAAAAAAAAAAAAAAAAAAAGGGAAAAAAGGCGAUUUGUUAUUUUAGUAUUCAGAGGCAGUAAUAGGUAUUGACCAUUUUUUUUCUUCUUCAGCAAUUUGCGUGCUUCCGGCUUAAUUGUUAUUGGAGAUUUUAUCUUGAAUUUGAUGUAUCGGAGCUUGAACCUGUUAAGCUGUGUCAGGGAUGAGGAAGCAUAAGAGGAAGCUAUGCAGAAUAAUCCCUGUCUGCGUAAUUAAUGACCCUUAAAAUGGAGGCAGCGUUUGCUGCACUCUCUGGCCUGGACAGGUGGUGCUCCGGUGUCCUCCUGACCUCUACCAGUUCCUUCAUUAAACACUGAUGCUUUACAGCACACUCAAUGGAGACAAGGGAACACACACACACACUCAAACACACAUAAAACCAUGCAUUUGUGUAGGUUUUAAAAUUUGUUUACACAUGCUUCACCGUAUAGUCCUAUAUGCUGAAAUGACCUCAGCUAGGAACCGUGCCAAAGAGCAGGUGAUAGUAAAGUUUCUAAAAAUCUUGUGGCCCUCUGUUUCCUCUAGAGCUUCACAAUUCAAAGAGCAGGCUUAUCUUCUUUCCACCUUGGACUCUGAUGGGAAAUCUCGAAUGAACCAUCUCCAAGGACGGGUGUGCUCUGACAUCAGGCAAUCUGACGGAUCUAAAUCGUUACAUCUCUUUUGACAUUAAUAUGGCAUUUUUGGUGGCGCCAACUAAAAGUGGCAUACAGUUCAAGGAUUUGUCAUGCUGGCAGGAUGAAAAUAACAUAUUUAUAUGAGUGAGGAAUUAGGCUCUUUGAAUAUGCAGGAAAUCCAGUGGCCACUGACUGAGGAACAGGAGUCUCGGGUCUGCCUUAUCUACUCUAUUUAUGAGCAGUAUGUCAAAGUGUUCAUGCACAUCCUGAAUGACAGUUAUCUUUGGAGGAUUUUUUAUGUACUUUUAUUUGAAAAAAUAAAUUUUUUGGUGAUGAUUUUAAGAGAACUCUCUUAACAGAUUCGCACAGCUGAGACAUGAGACAACAUAUGUGAAUUAAUGAGAUGAUGUUAACACAGUUGUUUACUUUUUUUACUUUUUUUUUUUUUUUUUUAGGCUAAUGGUAAUUUGUGUGUAUGAGCAGGCGCUUAUGCCUCAGUGUAACCACUGUAGUGUCUGAUUGUGAGGACACUGUUUUAUAUGCAAAUGAUUUGUUUGGUCAGUAAACGUUGUACUGACCAGUAGGUCCAUAAAUUACCAUUGGCGUAUUUGACAGAUUAUUAAUCUGAUGCAAAACUGUUUGUGCUCAUUUUGCCAGGUGAAUAAAUAGUUCGGGCAAAUUGACCUCACUGAUGGUAGACAGCAUGGAGGACAAAGUCAACUUUGCAAAAUAAGAAAAAAGAGAAAAAUGAUCAAAUGUAAAUAUUUAUUCUCUCACAUAUUAAAGAGUGACAGGACAAGAGAGACAGUAUCCACAAGCAAUGGGGUCACUGCACAAGGAUAAAAGCACUGCAUUAUGGGAACAAUAAGUGUGGGCCUAAAUGAAGGGAAGAGAUAAAAGCUGAGGAGCAAAGUUGGGCCUCACUUUAGCUCUGCUGUCCUGGAGGAAGCGGUCUCUCUUUGUUCCUGACAGUCUUUCUCAGAUUAGACCUGGAUUCCCCAGGUAAAAAGGCCAGCCAGGCCUUAUCUUGGCUGAUAAGUCCCUUGCACCUUGUCUGUGACUGCGUGUGCGACCGUGUGUGCAUGCAAAUAUCUUCAGCUGUCAACCCCCCCCCCCUUCUCUCACACACACACACACACACACACACACACGCACACACACACAAACACCCCCCCCCCCCCCCCCCCCCCAACCUUCUGUCUGAAUCAGGGAGACAUAACACAAACUUUGAGUCGGUUUUGCUUCUGGUUUUUUUACUUUGAUUUUUGUGUUUUGAAAUGCAAGACUGAAAAUUGUUAAUAAUUAUGGCAGUUUAUGCGGUUUCAUUUAUUUGAGUGUGUGUGUGCUUUGCUAUAUGUAUGUCGUUAUAUUUUAUUGGCUCAGUGACACUGUCUCCUUACUGACUCCUUAAUAGCAUGUUUUCUCAAGGGAGCUCCACAGAUAUAGUAAUCCUGAAGUGUGAUGUGGUAGUAUUAAAAUCUGUUCAUAUCAUAAAGAGAAAGGGAACGGAGCAGCAUUGCAUGCAAAACACGGCAAUGCCUUCACUGGCCUGUUCCCACCAUAGUGCAAUUAACUCUUGGGGGGGACAGAAGUAUGUUGUACUGUUAUGAUUACUCAAGCAAAUAAUGGAAAAGCCUCACAGUGACAUGUCAUCUCCUCCAUGUCUGCUACAAAAUGGUUUUUCUUCCACAGUCUUCCAGGGAAUUAAACAUUCGUCAUGUUUGCUACUAAGCUCAGUUAAAAUUACAAUACGUAAUACUGGCCAGGUAGUCAAAACCAUGUCAGGUCCUUUCAAUGCAAUUUGACAGAUGUUUUUCUGUCCCAUGCUUAGUUUUAAAGCUGAUGUUAGGGUUUUGUGCAUGUAUGUGUGUGUGUGUGUGUGUCUCUGUGUGUGUGUGUGUGUGUGUGUGUGUGUGUGUGUGGGUGUGUGUGGGUGUGUGUGUGUGUGCGUGUGUGUGUGUGUGUGUGUGUGUGUGUGUGUGUGUGUGUAUGUGUGUGUGUGUGUGUUGCUCUGUCCCCACACACUGUUGGGACUCCAGUUAAGUAUUUUUUCUGUGGCUCUGUAUGUCCAGUAGUUUACACAUCGUUGUAUGUUGUAUAUGCAUUCUGAUGGCCCUGUACAGUCUUCAUGUUUUAUACAUAUAUCAUAUAUUUAUUUGUUUUAAAUAUUUAGUAUGUUACUUACAUUUUCUGUUUGUAGUGAAGGCUCAGAUGUGUCCAAGAGAGAGAUCUAAGUGGUGGCAUUCAGAGGAUAAAAAAGUAGGGAAAAUCAUUUUUGCAUAGAAAGCCUUAAGGCUGACCCAGAUCACCACAUACACUGGGUCUUGUGCAGAUCACUGCCUUCCCACUAUCCAUGUUAAUUUACUGCAGAAAAAAGAAAAGAGAAAGAUGUCCAUUCAAUAGUGUCCUUAGCAUUCUGCUCAAAACAACCAUCAUACGAUUCCUCAUUUUAAUAUCUAAACAAAAUACUCAUGUCAACAUAUGUCAACAGUGUCUACAUUUCAUUUCUGAAGUUUUUAAAAAAAGAAAUUAAUUUCUUUUUAAAUUAGAAUGAGUAAAGGAAUGUUUAGGUUUACCCUCAAAUAUAGAUAUCAGUUCCACUAGUCUUGUUUGAAUCUAUUUCUUGGCCCACUAAAUGACCAGCUUAAUAAACAGUUGUAUUCUUGGCAGCGUCCAGUCCCAGAAGCUGAGAGAGACAUUUUAGAGUGUCUUAGUACUGUGUCAAGAUCACACAGAU
Long non-coding RNA from Ictalurus punctatus (channel catfish), 5344 nucleotides. NCBI's taxonomy places the organism in Eukaryota, Metazoa, Chordata, Actinopteri, Siluriformes, Ictaluridae. The record is from Ensembl.